AUUGAACGCUGGCGGAAUGCUUUACACAUGCAAGUCGAACGGUAGAGGGGGCAACCCCUUGAGAGUGGCGAACGGGUGAGUAAUAUAUCGGAACGUGCCCAGUCGGUGGGGGAUAACGUAGCGAAAGUUAACGCUAAUACCGCAUACGAUCUAAGGAUGAAGCGGGGGAUCGCAAGACUCGCGCGAUUGGAGCGGCCGAUAUCAGAUUAGGUAGUUGGUGAGGUAAAGGCUCAACCAAGCCAACGAUCUGUAGCUGGUCUGAGAGGACGACCAGCACACUGGAACNGAGA
Molecule: ribosomal RNA, 290 nt
Filed under: uncultured bacterium
Lineage: Bacteria
Description: partial 16S ribosomal RNA
Rfam family: Bacterial small subunit ribosomal RNA
Source: RNAcentral